RNAcentral lists this ribosomal RNA (616 nucleotides) under Hanseniaspora uvarum. RNAcentral's name for it is "eukaryotic LSU rRNA". It matches the Rfam family "Eukaryotic large subunit ribosomal RNA", at positions 37 to 668 of the family's 3401-position model. Lineage: Eukaryota; Fungi; Ascomycota; Saccharomycetes; Saccharomycodales; Saccharomycodaceae. The record is from RNAcentral.
UGCAUAUCAAUAAGCGGAGGAAAAGAAACCAACUGGGAUUACCUUAGUAACGGCGAGUGAAGCGGUAAAAGCUCAAAUUUGAAAUCUGGUACUUUCAGUGCCCGAGUUGUAAUUUGUAGAAUUUGUCUUUGAUUAGGUCCUUGUCUAUGUUCCUUGGAACAGGACGUCAUAGAGGGUGAGAAUCCCGUUUGGCGAGGAUACCUUUUCUCUGUAAGACUUUUUCGAAGAGUCGAGUUGUUUGGGAAUGCAGCUCAAAGUGGGUGGUAAAUUCCAUCUAAAGCUAAAUAUUGGCGAGAGACCGAUAGCGAACAAGUACAGUGAUGGAAAGAUGAAAAGAACUUUGAAAAGAGAGUGAAAAAGUACGUGAAAUUGUUGAAAGGGAAGGGCAUUUGAUCAGACAUGGUGUUUUUUGCAUGCACUCGCCUCUCGUGGGCUUGGGCCUCUCAAAAAUUUCACUGGGCCAACAUCAAUUCUGGCAGCAGGAUAAAUCAUUAAGAAUGUAGCUACUUCGGUAGUGUUAUAGCUUUUUGGAAUACUGUUAGCCGGGAUUGAGGACUGCGCUUCGGCAAGGAUGUUGGCAUAAUGGUUAAAUGCCGCCCGUCUUGAACACGGACCA